AAGUAAGAAGCGAUAAAUUGCAAUUAGUUUCGACCUAAUUCUAGAUGAUUUUCAUCAUCCUUAUUUU
This 67-nucleotide transfer RNA is filed under the name Protoplasa fitchii. Its description in RNAcentral is "tRNA-Arg". Lineage: Eukaryota; Metazoa; Arthropoda; Insecta; Diptera; Tanyderidae. The record is from RNAcentral.